RNAcentral lists this ribosomal RNA (253 nucleotides) under uncultured bacterium. RNAcentral describes it as "partial 16S ribosomal RNA". It matches the Rfam family "Bacterial small subunit ribosomal RNA", at positions 524 to 776 of the family's 1533-position model. The record is from RNAcentral.
UACGUAGGGCGCAAGCGUUGUCCGGAAUUAUUGGGCGUAAAGAGCUCGUAGGCGGCUUGUCACGUCGGGUGUGAAAGCCCGGGGCUUAACCCCGGGUCUGCAUUCGAUACGGGCAGGCUAGAGUGUGGUAGGGGAGAUCGGAAUUCCUGGUGUAGCGGUGAAAUGCGCAGAUAUCAGGAGGAACACCAACAGCGAAGGCAGAUCUCUGGGACGUUACUGACGCUGAGACGCGAAAGCGUGGGGAGCAAACAGG